UACAUGGGGUGCAAACGUUGCUCGGAAUUACUGGGCGUAAAGAGCUCGUAGGUGGUUUGUCGCGUUGUUCGUGAAAACUCACAGCUCAACUGUGGGCGUGCGGGCGAUACGGGCAGACUUGAGUACUGCAGGGGAGACUGGAAUUCCUGGUGUAGCGGUGGAAUGCGCAGAUAUCAGGAGGAACACCGGUGGCGAAGGCGGGUCUCUGGGCAGUAACUGACGCUGAGGAGCGAAAGCGUGGGGAGCGAACAGG
This 253-nucleotide ribosomal RNA is filed under the name uncultured bacterium. Its description in RNAcentral is "partial 16S ribosomal RNA". It matches the Rfam family "Bacterial small subunit ribosomal RNA", at positions 524 to 776 of the family's 1533-position model. The record is from RNAcentral.